GCCCGGAUGGCGAAAUCGGUAGACGCAGGGGACUCAAAAUCCCCGCUGUAAGGCAUGUCGGUUCGACUCCGACUCCGGGCAUCA
This 84-nucleotide transfer RNA is filed under the name Burkholderia territorii. RNAcentral's name for it is "tRNA-Leu". It matches the Rfam family "tRNA". Rfam says of the family: Transfer RNA (tRNA) molecules are approximately 80 nucleotides in length. Their secondary structure includes four short double-helical elements and three loops (D, anti-codon, and T loops). Lineage: Bacteria; Pseudomonadati; Pseudomonadota; Betaproteobacteria; Burkholderiales; Burkholderiaceae. The record is from RNAcentral.